UGAAACUAUUUCCUUUUUCUACCUGUUGUCCAGCAACUUUCUUCAACUACAGAAAUGAAAAGAGAAAUGGAUGGCCCUCUCAAUCUGUCCCACUUUCUUUACUGCCUUUUAAUGUAUGCCUUUUAAUUUAAUGUAUGAUAGUAAGUAGGUAUAGUAUUUCUAACUAAUGCUGCCUGUCACACUGACUUGGAAUUUGAUUUAGCAGAUCAAAUCAAUCUUCAUCCUGUAGAAAGAUUCAACACAAAAUGCAAACCCACCUCAGGAAAUGAACAAGUAUCAAGAUAAAAGUACUAAGCAAAACCAUAAAAAUUAAUUAAGCAGAAGCUUAUAAUUAAGGGACAACAAAUUAUUUUGUUUACUUACCUCCAUUAAGGAAGCUAAAAAGCAAGACAAGAUUCUAGGCCUACAUUCCAAUGGCCUCGUGACCAGAAGCAAACCUGCAUUAUUCAUUUAGGUAGUUGCUUGUAUGUAUCAAUAAUUUCGUCUAAUUAAUGGUAAUCGAGUGAGUAAUCAUACCUAGGCACUUGAAAGUACCACGAUUUGAAUGGAGCCACGUCUACCGAAGAACUAGCAGGAAAGAAAGACGGACUGAUCGAGUUAUUGUUAGCCAGAGACGACACUGAAAUCUUAUCGAACUCUCCAGUCUCCCUGGAGAAAGCUGUCGUGGAGUCGCCGGCAGCUUUUGGAGACGCAAAGGGACUGUCGGGGAGGUUGUGCUCCAAACUACAUUCAAAUCAAUAAAGAAACUUAAUCAUUCAGAGCAAUAGAACAUGACACCAAAUAAAUAGAUGAAUUAGAGGUCACACAUCAACAUUUAAUAUGCAUUCAACUAACACACUUGAAUGCUAAUUUCAGGACAUUACUGGUAAUAAUGAGUUUCGAAUCAAGAUAAGAAACACAGAAAACAAGGAGAGGUCCAGUACCUUCCUUUCAAAUCACUUUCUUUGUUGGGAUUUUCUGCGUCUUUGGUCGUUUCAUCCUUGAGAGAAGAAGAUUGUUUCUCUGUAUCAGUAACAUUCACUGGAUUUUUCACAGCCGAAAUUGAACUAUUUUCUGUAACAGCAUAAUUCCAAAUGCAAAAGUCUUUAUCCCAUCUUUCGACAACCAUGAAACACAAUGUCUAAUGAAAACUGAAAUAAAUAAAAAUGGCACCUUCUUUAGAUUCCAGGCUACCGCGAUCACCCGAUAGGACGACAUUUUGAUUGAAAAAACUCGGAGACUGUGUUGGGGAUGAAAGAAUGCCACCGGUAGAGAGUGUUCGGUGGUGGCUAUUCCUCUUGAUGUCAAGUUGUAGACCCAUAAGUCUCCUAUUUUGGAGCUCAAUUGCUUGCUGCAAAUCUGCUUGCUCCUCUAGUUUUCUUCUCCAUAACAUGUCGGGAUUGUUGUAGAACAUCCCUGCGCCUAAAGCCAAAAAGAAAAUACCAUUUUAAUCAAACAUGAAUUAGGAACGUCCUUUUUUCUUUUAGAAACCAACUGAAGUGAAGGCAUGAAGCAUUGCUGUUUACUUCAAGAAACCAAGAAAUCGUUGGUGCACGAUGCAAGGGAUGAGUAUUUACUUACCGAGCUGAAGAUCAUAAGAAUCUUUCGACUCCAGCCCGGUAGGGCUACUAUAUCCCGUGUACUCUCCCCUCUCCAUCUGAGGCUGUUUCCUGUAAGUGUCAUCAAAUUUAACAUUAAUAAUACAUAAGAUAAUUGGUCUACCACCCAGAAAGGCUUAUAGAGGGACUAACCUGUGUUUGUCGGGGAUUUUGCCUUUCUCCUUGUAUGGUUUGACGAGUACACGAGCAUCACAUACAUAGUGGGGAUUGCCCUUUGCAAGAAUGAGCUUUACAGUCUCCGGAUAAACAAAUGUGACAAAACCAAACAUCCGUUUCUGUUGAUACGGAAUCCUCACAUCUUGAACUGGCCCGUAAAUACUUCAAGAUGAAGCAAAUUAUUUAAUAAACUCAAUUCCAUCAGCUAAAGAAAGGUAUAAAUAACCUCAUUCAAGCUCAGGAAGAAAUUCAUGCACCUGAAAUAAUUGGACACAUCUUCCUCCUUGAAAGUACUAUCAGCUGGAAAUGUCAAGUAAAUUUGCCUCGAACCAGGAUUCAUCAUACCAAAAUCACCUCUUUCGAGCCGAGACCGACUAAAUUUGUGCAUAUCAUCACCCAAAAAGGCUCUACAAGUUCAAAUCCAAAAUUAUUAACUUCAACAAAAUUAUGAACCCAAUAAAAAGGUCAAGUAAAGAUGUUCAUGCCUUGGACUCUCAGCUUGCAGUUGCUCUUCAAAUAUUAUAAUCUUGGAUUUUCUUGAAUCUGGAUCUAAACGAGUUAAAGAAAGAUUUUGGAUUUAUAAUUUUCUUUUUUGGAUUAUACAAUGGGAAAUAGCCAUCAAUACUGAGAUGAGGGAAGAAAAUACAGACCCUGAAAUUUACUUACUUACUUCUACACAUUGAUAUUUCUUUGAUUUCACUGAAACUAUUUCCUUUUUCUACCUGUUGUCCAGCAACUUUCUUCAACUACAGAAAUGAAAAGAGAAAUGGAUGGCUGUCUCUCAAUCUGUCCCACUUUCUUUACUGCCUUUUAAUGUAUGCCUUUUAAUUUAAUGUAUGAUAGUAAGUAGGUAUAGUAUUUCUAACUAAUGCUGCCUGUCACACUGACUUGGAAUUUGAUUUAGCAGAUCAAAUCAAUCUUCAUCCUGUAGAAAGAUUCAACACAAAAUGCAAACCCACCUCAGGAAAUGAACAAGUAUCAAGAUAAAAGUACUAAGCAAAACCAUAAAAAUUAAUUAAGCAGAAGCUUAUAAUUAAGGGACAACAAAUUAUUUUG
This 2810-nucleotide long non-coding RNA is filed under the name Olea europaea (common olive). RNAcentral describes it as "long non-coding RNA (OEUR_LNC001130)". Lineage: Eukaryota; Viridiplantae; Streptophyta; Magnoliopsida; Lamiales; Oleaceae. The record is from RNAcentral.